UUUCUUUCUUUCUUUUUUAG
RNAcentral lists this small RNA (20 nucleotides) under Arabidopsis thaliana (thale cress). RNAcentral describes it as "ATSL252000". The record is from RNAcentral. Lineage: Eukaryota; Viridiplantae; Streptophyta; Magnoliopsida; Brassicales; Brassicaceae.